Molecule: long non-coding RNA, 208 nt
Filed under: Pelobates cultripes (western spadefoot toad)
Lineage: Eukaryota; Metazoa; Chordata; Amphibia; Anura; Pelobatidae
Source: RNAcentral
CUCUUACAUAGCUCAAGUUCUGGGCCCCAGGGCCUGACGGUGAGUAUGCCCAUAAAGCCCACCCAUAAGUCCACCAACAUGUUCCACCCAUGAGUUCGCUCACAGGGAGUGGAGUGUGUAGGAGAUGUGUUAUGUGUUACUGUAGAGGAUCUAAUGUGUGUGCUUAUGGAAUGUAGUGUAUAGGGAUACCAGUUUGUGUAGGUGAUGC